This 540-nucleotide ribosomal RNA is filed under the name uncultured Paenibacillus sp. RNAcentral's name for it is "bacterial SSU rRNA". It matches the Rfam family "Bacterial small subunit ribosomal RNA", at positions 339 to 871 of the family's 1533-position model. Lineage: Bacteria; Bacillati; Bacillota; Bacilli; Caryophanales; Paenibacillaceae. The record is from RNAcentral.
CUACGGGAGGCAGCAGUAGGGAAUCUUCCGCAAUGGACGCAAGUCUGACGGAGCAACGCCGCGUGAGUGAGGAAGGUUUUCGGAUCGUAAAACUCUGUUGCCAGGGAAGAACGCCAGGGAGAGGAAAUGCUCCUUGGGUGACGGUACCUGAGAAGAAAGCCCCGGCUAACUACGUGCCAGCAGCCGCGGUAAUACGUAGGGGGCAAGCGUUGUCCGGAAUUAUUGGGCGUAAAGCGCGCGCAGGCGGCGACUUAAGUUUGGUGUUUAAGCCCGGGGCUCAACCCCGGUACGCACUGGAAACUGGGUGGCUGGAGUGCAGGAGAGGGGAGUGGAAUUCCACGUGUAGCGGUGAAAUGCGUAGAUAUGUGGAGGAACACCAGUGGCGAAGGCGACUCUCUGGCCUGUAACUGACGCUGAGGCGCGAAAGCGUGGGGAGCAAACAGGAUUAGAUACCCUGGUAGUCCACGCCGUAAACGAUGAGUGCUAGGUGUUAGGGGUUUCGAUACCCUUGGUGCCGAAGUUAACACAGUAAGCAUUCCG